GAUGAACGCUGGCGGCGUGCCUAAUACAUGCAAGUCGAGCGAACAGACGAGGAGCUUGCUCCUCUGACGUUAGCGGCGGACGGGUGAGUAACACGUGGAUAACCUACCUAUAAGACUGGGAUAACUUCGGGAAACCGGAGCUAAUACCGGAUAAUAUAUUGAACCGCAUGGUUAAAUAGUGAAAGACGGUUUUGCUGUCACUUAUAGAUGGAUCCGCGCCGCAUUAGCUAGUUGGUAAGGUAACGGCUUACCAAGGCGACGAUGCGUAGCCGACCUGAGAGGGUGAUCGGCCACACUGGAACUGAGACACGGGCCAGACUCCUACGGGAGGCAGCAGUAGGGAAUCUUCCGCAAGGGGCGAAAGCCUCGGAGCAACGCCGCGUGAGUGAUGAAGGUCUUCGGAUCGUAAAACUCUGUUAUUAGGGAAGAACAAAUGUGUAAGUAACUAUGCACGUCUUGACGGUACCUAAUCAGAAAGCCACGGCUAACUACGUG
RNAcentral lists this ribosomal RNA (495 nucleotides) under uncultured bacterium. RNAcentral describes it as "partial 16S ribosomal RNA". It matches the Rfam family "Bacterial small subunit ribosomal RNA", at positions 28 to 507 of the family's 1533-position model. The record is from RNAcentral.